RNAcentral lists this ribosomal RNA (403 nucleotides) under uncultured Acetobacter sp. Its description in RNAcentral is "bacterial SSU rRNA". It matches the Rfam family "Bacterial small subunit ribosomal RNA", at positions 975 to 1375 of the family's 1533-position model. Lineage: Bacteria; Pseudomonadati; Pseudomonadota; Alphaproteobacteria; Acetobacterales; Acetobacteraceae. The record is from RNAcentral.
GAGGACUUGACUUGUCCAGGCUGUGUUAGAGAUAUAACCUUUCUCCCUCGAGGCCUUGUGACACAGGUGCUGCAUGGCUGUCUUCAGCUCGUUUCGUGAGAUGUUGGGUUAAGUCCCGCAACGGGCGCACCCUUCGCUUUUAGUUGCCAUCAAUUUUGGCUGGGCACUCUGAAGGAACUGCCGGUGACAAGCCGGAGGAAGGUGGGGAUGACGUCAAAUCCUCAUGGCCCUUAUGUCCUGGGCUACACACGUGCUACAAUGGCGGUGACGAUGGGAUGCAAAGUCGCAAGCUUGACUAAUCUCAUAAAAGCCGUCUCAGUUCAGAUUGCUCUCUGCAACUCGAGUGCAUGAAGGUGGAAUCGCYAGUAAUCGCRGAUCAGCAUGCYGCGGUGAAUACGUUCCC